This is a long non-coding RNA of Nyctereutes procyonoides (raccoon dog), 2019 nucleotides long. RefSeq lists it as uncharacterized. The transcript is spliced from 3 exons. NCBI's taxonomy places the organism in Eukaryota, Metazoa, Chordata, Mammalia, Carnivora, Canidae. The record is from RefSeq and is a predicted model, not a curated record.
GACCCACCAUGGUCUCCAUGAAGCCACAGGCACAGGCUGUAAUAACUGUAAAACUGGUCAGAGACAUGCUCCAGGGUGUGGAGACCUGUGCUCCGGAUCCACGGCACCCCACGGCGAGGCAGCAACACACACACCAGGGGCCACUGCGUGCACAAUCCUCUCCCCCCGCCUCCCCCACCACUGGGCCUUCAUCUCUUUCUCUCAAGACUCUGGGCGCGCAGGUGACCAAGAGUGACCUGUUACCAUUACUACAGGAAUAACCUUGAAUCUCUUUGAUAAAAUAAACUUUGGAAGUUUAAUACCAGUGAGAUUACUUCCCUUAAAACACCCCAGGGUGGACUGUGACAAGCCAGCGUAUUGUGACACAGGACUGAGAACUGCUCUCGCAAAAUAUAAAUAAUCAGUACAGGUGCAGCCACCAGUGUGAACGCGGGAAUCCCGUCAACAAUGCUGGGGAUUACGUGUGACUCUGCCCCCAGACUCGGAUAAAGCAGCUUUCAGCAGGAAACAGACACUGUUGGACUGAACAAGUUUAAACGAGCCUACAGGAGGAGCAGCAGUAUCCUCUCUCCGGGGCUUUCUCAAAUCUGGACAAAAGACUAAAUGCUGAGAAUGCUGGAUUUGGCAAUCCUGUGUGGGAAUGGCGUCUGAAUUCCAAGCCCCGAGUCUGCCUUCGGUGUGGCCUCCAGUUAUUCUCUCUUCACUGCAACGUUUUCAAGGGCCCCCUGUGUACCAGGCCCCGUGGACCCCAAGCUGAGCAAAACCAAGUCUGUGCUCUUGCUCGGUCCCAGGGUCUCCAAGGUGGGAUGCAGACAUCCCCAGGGGAGCUGAAGAAACCCCAUCUACCACUGAGCCAAGAGAAGCAAAUAAAAGAACUUUGAUUCAUCAGCCUCAUCUUUUUGACGUGUAUCUGCGUCUGUAGUCUUCCGUGUGCAGGCUCUGGAAAUUAGGAAUCGGCGAACAAAAGUCCGGGACCAUGGGUCUAGCCCCUUGGUGUGUCACCGUGGCUCACUAAAGCUAUAAUGGGGCAGCAGGUCAGAAGUACUUGGAACAAGAUCCCAGGUGAUCCCAAAGCAGUGGGAGGGUGCACACCCACGGCCCCUGCCCGGCCUCAUCUUGGCUUUGGAGAUUCAGCAAAGUAGCUGCUUUCUCAAAACGCAAACCCACUGCCUGCCCUUGAAACGCCCUUUAGGUGGGGCAGUCCCGUAAUACAGGCUUUUGAGAAUGAAAUGAAGAGAGCUGAGAUGGAGUAAGGAUCAUGGGGAUGUCCGCUCGCUGCAGCUGCAGGUCACAGAGAGCACACCUGCUCCCCGCAGCGGGCACUCUAACCUGGAGGGCGCCAACCACGGGUUUCCCAAGCCUCGAACACUAAAUCCUGUUCGGGUGCCCAGCGGACACCGCGGCCCGGGACUACCCCCAGUGCGUCCUAAAGAUGCUCUGCAGGCAGGAGCGCGCUCUCAUCAACGUGUGGCUAUUUCUUCGUGGUUUUAGAACUGAGAGCCCUUGGGAUGUGAGGACAGGCAGCGAGGCUUCUGGAAACCAGCCCUUUUCAAGACGUCACCAAAGAGUCCUUAGAUUCCAGACCUGGUUGGACAUCGCGGGGGUCAGAGACCCUUUUCAAUAGUUCUGAAGACCCACAUUGACCCCACAUUUCCACACAUUUAGGUAAAUAUCAGAAAUAUUUGCCUAUUCAUGCCUAAUCCUUGCAAACCUGAUUUUCUCAUCCUGAUCUCUCCCAAGAGGAGAGUGACACUCAAGGGAACAGCUUCUGAAUGACGGAACCGCAUGUGGCUGCCAAGGCCUGAGUGCAUAAAGUGCUGGCCCGACCUAGACGGAGGGGGAAGCGUUACAGGAGCCAGGCACUGUAACCCGUGCAACAGUAAAGGAUUCCCAAUAAAACUUUGCACACGUGAGGAAGACCAUAGCACGAGACAGCCACGUCAAAGAACUACGUGCAAAAUGUGUGCGGCUCGCAAAAUAAGCGCACACAGAGGACCAGCCCUGGGCGAGGUCUUACCU